AUGCUGCGCCUCAUCAAUGCCGCGCUCGACGACGAGUUCUUCUUCUCCGUCCCCAAUCACACACUAACCAUCGUCGAGGUCGAUGCCGUUUAUGUCAAGCCUUUCACAGUCAAGACUCUGAUCAUCUCACCGGGCCAGACCGCCAAUGUCCUCCUCACCACCAAGCCGUUGUACCCUAAGGCCAACUUCUACACGUACCAAAAUCCUAGGGACCCCCUAAGGCCUAGCACCAUCAACAACACCACCGCUGCUGGUAUUCUCGAGUACCAGAAUCCGGGCUCCCCCUCCGCGCCAAGCUCUGACGAAGACUUGCCACUGUUCAAGCCGACGCUCCCGCGGUUCAACGACACCGGCUUUGUCGCCAACUUCGCCUCCAAGCUCCGCAGCCUUGCCACGCCGCAGUACCCGGCGGCCGUGCCACGGUCGGUUGACCAGAAGUUCUUCUUCACGGUCGGCAUGGGCACGUUCCCGUGCCCCAUGGACACGGCGUGCCAAGGGCCCAUCAACGAAACGCGGUUCGUGGCAGCCGUGAACAACGUCUCCUUCGUGCUCCCUUCCAUGGCGCUCCUUCAGUCGCACUACUUUGCCGGUAUGUCGCAGGGCGUCUAUGGGCCCGACUUUCCGGCCAUUCGACGCUCGACGCUCGCGAUGCGCUCUUCUUCUCCCCCUCCAAAGCCCCGCGCGCGCCGGCGCCGGCGACCCACACCCAUGGACGCACGCGUCGGCACCCCGCUCACCCCAUCCUAUAGCCGCGACCCCCCGCCGCCGCCGCCACAAACCCUAGCCCGGGUGGCGUUGGCCUCGCCUCCGCCGGAGCUCCUCCGACCAGCGGCCUCGCGCGCGGCCUCUUCAUGUCGCCGUGGAUGA
RNAcentral lists this ribosomal RNA (867 nucleotides) under Triticum aestivum (bread wheat). RNAcentral's name for it is "partial small subunit ribosomal RNA". Lineage: Eukaryota; Viridiplantae; Streptophyta; Magnoliopsida; Poales; Poaceae. The record is from RNAcentral.